GUAUAAAUAGCUUAAUAUGGCAGAGCUUGCGUUUUGGGAACGUAAAGGUGUAGGUUCGAGUCCUACUUUAUGCA
Molecule: transfer RNA, 74 nt
Filed under: Chitinophagales bacterium
Lineage: Bacteria; Pseudomonadati; Bacteroidota; Chitinophagia; Chitinophagales
Description: tRNA-Pro
Rfam family: tRNA
About the family: Transfer RNA (tRNA) molecules are approximately 80 nucleotides in length. Their secondary structure includes four short double-helical elements and three loops (D, anti-codon, and T loops).
Source: RNAcentral